AUUGAACGCUGGCGGCAGGCCUAACACAUGCAAGUCGAGCGGAUGAAGGGAGCUUGCUCCUGGAUUCAGCGGCGGACGGGUGAGUAAUGCCUAGGAAUCUGCCUGGUAGUGGGGGAUAACGUCCGGAAACGGGCGCAAAUACCGCAUACGUCCUGAGGGAGAAAGUGGGGGAUCUUCGGACCUCACGCUAUCAGAUGAGCCUAGGUCGGAUUAGCUAGUUGGUGGGGUAAAGGCCUACCAAGGCGACGAUCCGUAACUGGUCUGAGAGGAUGAUCAGUCACACUGGAACUGAGACACGGUCCAGACUCCUACGGGAGGCAGCAGUGGGGAAUAUUGGACAAUGGGCGAAAGCCUGAUCCAGCCAUGCCGCGUGUGUGAAGAAGGUCUUCGGAUUGUAAAGCACUUUAAGUUGGGAGGAAGGGCAGUAAGUUAAUACCUUGCUGUUUUGACGUUACCAACAGAAUAAGCACCGGCUAACUUCGUG
RNAcentral lists this ribosomal RNA (484 nucleotides) under uncultured bacterium. RNAcentral describes it as "partial 16S ribosomal RNA". It matches the Rfam family "Bacterial small subunit ribosomal RNA", at positions 30 to 507 of the family's 1533-position model. The record is from RNAcentral.